This 1182-nucleotide long non-coding RNA is filed under the name Gallus gallus (chicken). Its description in RNAcentral is "lncRNA (ENSGALG00010029064.1)". Lineage: Eukaryota; Metazoa; Chordata; Aves; Galliformes; Phasianidae. The record is from RNAcentral.
GUUUGUUCUGCAGGCCCCAAUGAUGGCACAGGCAUGAAAGAGCCCAGAGCUCAUCGCUGGGGAGAGGCUGCGUAUGGCGUUGUGAAGGGAGAGAUGGAGGAGGGGUUUGAGCAGCGCUGUGCAGGAAUGAACGGCUGGUAAGAGAAGAGGUGUGUGUGCUGAGAGCAAGGGCUGUACGGCUCCUCUCUGUGUUCUCACAGGAAGUGCACGGCAGAGCUCCUUGCUCUCUGUUCUUUCUUGCAAGGCUGCGGCGCUUCAAAGUGCGCUGUGGGUGGGCAGCGCGAUGACAGCCCAAGGGUGGCACCAGGAGAUGCAGCGCAGCCCUCUGCAGCAGCAGGGUGCAUUGAUUGGUCUUGCUCAUUCUUGAAGGAGAAGGUGUGUUUAGCUGCCAACUUUGGUGGCUCCAUGGCAUGUGCUGAAGGCUUUGGGGCCCUUCCUGUGUUCCUCACGUCCUGAGGCAGUGAAGGACUUCCCUUGCUCUGUAGGAAUGGUUCCUGUGCAAGGGCAUGGUCGUCUGCCUGUAGCAGAUACUGAAGGUUGUGGUGUUGUGACUGCAGUGAUGGAGUUGGCUUUAGAAUGGCAAUUGCACUCUGCUCACGUGCAGCUCUUUCUGACACAGGCAGGAGUCGGGCAGCGGUACUGCAGCUCCUCUGGCAGCUUUGCAGCACAGCUGGGAAGCAGAAGAUGUGGAUGUGAAAGAAGAAGUCCGUUGCUGGGACGUUUCCCUGUUCUUCCCCCAGCUGUCCCCUUGCCUCAGCCUGGAUUCCCCUUGCAUUCCGGUAGGAUUCCCUUCCAUCCCCCUGGCUGCCCCUUGCUUUCCACAAGGCUGCCCUUUCCUUUCUCAUGACAGCGCACCCAUCAUUCCCUCAGAGCCCCAAUAUCCCUCCCAGUGUUUCCCAGCAAGACCCCUAGAGACACCCUGUAGCCCCCCAGUGAGCCCUGGAGCCCCUCGAGGACCCCCUCAGACCCAGUACACCUCCCCCGUAGCUGGCCCAUUCUCACAUGUACCCUCACAGUCCAUAGCAGCACCCCAUGUCCCCCACUGGACAUGGGAAUUCUCCUAUUCCAUUCCAUGGAAUCCUCCUAUUUCCUCCCUCAGACCUCCUUUACACCUCCAAGAUCCCCCCUGGGAACUCACUGACCCCCAUGGUCCCUGACAGGACCCCAUCACCAUCCCAGGAC